Molecule: long non-coding RNA, 785 nt
Filed under: Marmota monax (woodchuck)
Lineage: Eukaryota; Metazoa; Chordata; Mammalia; Rodentia; Sciuridae
Source: RNAcentral
ACACAUCUAGAGUUAAAAGCAAUUUUUUUAAAAAAUUCUGGUAAUUCUCAUGCAUAGAGAUCACCUUAGAAUUCACAAUUUUUAAAAUUCUGUCUAAAACUGAUAAAAUUUUAUCCUCAAGGAACUGAAGUAUAAAAUAAAAUUGAUACAAAAUUAUAGCUGGGUGUGGUGGCAUUACUAUUCAGACAGCUCUAGAGUGUCUGAAAUCCUGUAAUCCCAGCAACUCCAGAGGCUGAAGCAGGAGGAUUUCAAAUUCAAAGCCAGCCUCAGCAACUUAAUGAGGCCCUAAGUAACUCUGUGAGACCCUGUCUCUAAAUAUAAUAUAAAAAAAGGACUGGAGAUGUUGCUCAGUGGUUAAUACCCUUGGGUUCAAUCCCUGGUACAAAAAAAAAGUUUUAAAAAUUAUCAAAAUGUAAAAGUGCAUUUAAUCUGUACUUCUCUUACUUCAUCUCAAGGAAAAGAUAAAACCUUCUAGCCAACUCUUCCAGUUACUAUUUCUUAUAUAAUAUAGAAGGUUUUCUUAUUGGAGUGAAAAUUUAAACUCUUCAUGCAUAGAUGGAACAAGAACACUACUAGCCAUAUCCACAAGAGGCACAGAUUUAAUGAACUUGUCAGUAUCUCUGGUCUUUGAAUUGUGUCUGUUUUCAAGUCCAGAUUAUAGGAUUGGGUUAAAAUCCUCAGAAUAUGUCACACAUUGAUAAGUUAUUUGAAAGAUGUUCUUAGUUUUCAAAAAAGAAGAACUUUACAUUUCUACUGUGGAAACUAAAGGCUUGUAUGAGUUAUUU